GUUCCAACCACGGGCUGCACCCACACCGGUGGAAGGGGGUCGGAUGGUGAAGGAGGGGAUGGCCGGGCCUAGAAUACCGAAAAAACUUUUUCGGAGAUGCCGGACCCAGGUCCUCCCGCGUGGUACGCCAACGCCCUACCACUCGGCCAAUGCUAUGGAUAUUGGUCCACAAAACUUAUUGCGUCAAAUUUCACAAAAUAUUGGCACGGAUCAACUUAUAUUUCCAAGACAAGAAAAUGCUAUACACUGACUAAUUGUUGGGUAGAAAAAAUAUUUAAAAAAAUAAAAUAAAAUAUACGUAUGAUAUAUUGUAUUUAGUUUUGAUAUAAUUUAAUUGAUAAUUAUCAUUCGAUAUAAGAAAAGUG
This 365-nucleotide long non-coding RNA is filed under the name Androctonus crassicauda. Lineage: Eukaryota; Metazoa; Arthropoda; Arachnida; Scorpiones; Buthidae. The record is from RNAcentral.